Long non-coding RNA from Penaeus vannamei (Pacific white shrimp), 644 nucleotides. RefSeq lists it as uncharacterized. NCBI's taxonomy places the organism in Eukaryota, Metazoa, Arthropoda, Malacostraca, Decapoda, Penaeidae. The record is from RefSeq and is a predicted model, not a curated record.
UUCAGUUUGUACAUAUCAAUCCUAGAAGAAAAAAAUGACGUUUUUAAAGUUGUUCCCUCCAUUGUUGAUACUUUUUCCAAAUAUUAUAUCUGCUUUGGAACCUUUUGAAACACACAUUUAAGGAAUAGUGCACUGGUCUUGUGAAAUUUCUCUAACAGGUUGAAAUACUUUGGAAACGGGGUGGGGGGACAUAAUGUCAAGUGGAUGAGACUAAGAGGAAUUUUAAACAAAUUUUAAAGACGGUUUAUGUACUUUGAUGUGCAGGUUUUGAUUGAAUGUGUAACAAUGAGGAAUUAAUACAAAAUACUAGCCAUGUGAUGACUAUUUUUUUCACGAGUCCCUGAGUGGUAUACUCUAAGAAGAACUGAUGUUUGAUAUUCAUGUGACAUUCACCAAUAUUAUUGGAGAAAAUAAUACAAGUGAUUUAUUUCAGGGUGGAGAUUGUUACGGAUGGAAGAGAUUGGCAGGAUCUACUUUUUGCAAAUCCUUUAGUACUGCUGAUUGUCUGUUUAUAUAUGCAGAUACCAGGAAGACUGACUACAGUUCUUAAUGAAGAACUGUAAUGGUGUCUGUUCGUGAUUAUCAUUCCAGUAAAGAAAUUUUCUGCUGUAGUUUAAGCCCUGUAAUAAAUUUAUGCUGUGACU